RNAcentral lists this ribosomal RNA (1489 nucleotides) under metagenome. Its description in RNAcentral is "bacterial LSU rRNA". It matches the Rfam family "Bacterial large subunit ribosomal RNA", at positions 1463 to 2925 of the family's 2925-position model. The record is from RNAcentral.
GAUGGGGUGACGGAGAAGGCUAGAUCAGCAGGGGUUGGUUCCCUGUUUAAGCAUGUAGGAGGAGUUGCCAGGCAAAUCCGGUGACUCUUAACUCCGAGGUGUGAUGACGAGGUCCCAUGUGGACCGAAGUGAUUAAUGCCCCGCUUCCAGGAAAAGCCUCUAAGCUUCAGAUCACAUUGGACCGUACCGUAAACCGACACUGGUGGGCGAGCAGAUAAUCUGCCAAGGCGCUUGAGAGAACUCGGGUUAAGGAACUCUGCAAAUUGAUACCGUAACUUCGGAAGAAGGUAUACCUUCGAUGGUGUAGAGAUUUACUCUCGAAGCUGUUGAAGGUCGCAGGUAAUCGGUGGCUGCGACUGUUUAUCAAAAACACAGGACUCUGCGAACACGCAAGUGGAUGUAUAGGGUCUGACGCCUGCCCGGUGCCGGAAGGUUAAUUGAUGGGGUUAGCGCAAGCGAAGCUCUUGAUCGAAGCCCCGGUAAACGGCGGCCGUAACAAUAACGGUCCUAAGGUAGCGAAAUUCCUUGUCGGGUAAGUUCCGACCUGCACGAAUGGCGUAACGCUGGCCACACUGUCUCGACCCGAGACUCAGUGAAGUUGAAAUCGCUGUGAAGAUGCGGCGUUCCCGCGGCAAGACGGAAAGACCCCGUGAACCUUCACUACAGCUUUACACUGAACUUUGAACCUUCCUGUGUAGCAUAGGUGGGAGGCUAUGAAGUCUGGGCGCUAGCUCAGAUGGAGCCAACGUUGAAAUACCACCCUGGGAUGUUCGGAGUUCUAACCUAGGCCCGUAAUCCGGGCUGGGAACAGUGUAUGGUGGGUAGUUUGACUGGGGCGGUCUCCUCCCAAAGAGUAACGGAGGAGUGCAAUGGUACGCUCAGCGCGGUCGGUCAUCGCGCUCUAGAGUGCAAAGGCAUAAGCGUGCUUAACUGCGAGACGGACAUGUCGAGCAGGUACGAAAGUAGGUCUUAGUGAUCCGGUGGUUCUGUAUGGAAGGGCCAUCGCUCAACGGAUAAAAGGUACUCCGGGGAUAACAGGCUUAUUCCUCCCAAGAGUCCACAUCGACGGAGGAGUUUGGCACCUCGAUGUCGGCUCAUCACAUCCUGGGGCUGUAGCAGGUCCCAAGGGUAUGGCUGUUCGCCAUUUAAAGUGGUACGCGAGCUGGGUUCAGAACGUCGUGAGACAGUUCGGUCCCUAUCUGCCGUGGGCGUUGGAAACUUGAGGGUGAGCUGUCCUUAGUACGAGAGGACCGGGAUGGACGUAUCUCUGGUGUUCCGGUUGUCACGCCAGUGGCACCGCCGGGUAGCUAUAUACGGACGGGAUAAGCGCUGAAAGCAUCUAAGCGCGAAGCCCCCCCCAAGAUUAGGUUUCCCUGGGAACUCGAUUCCCCUAAAGGGCCGUCGCAGACUACGACGUUGAUAGGCUGGGUGUGUACGUGCAGCAAUGCAUUUAGCUAACCAGUACUAAUUGCCCGUGAGGCUUAAAAAA